This 253-nucleotide ribosomal RNA is filed under the name uncultured bacterium. RNAcentral's name for it is "partial 16S ribosomal RNA". It matches the Rfam family "Bacterial small subunit ribosomal RNA", at positions 524 to 776 of the family's 1533-position model. The record is from RNAcentral.
UACAGGGGGUGCAAGCGUUGUUCGGAAUUAUUGGGCGUAAAGCGCGUGUAGGCGGGCCACUAAGUCUGGUGUGAAAUCCCUCGGCUUAACCGAGGACGUGCAUUGGAUACUGGUGGCCUUGAGUCCUGGAGAGGGUAGCGGAAUUCCCAGUGUAGAGGUGAAAUUCGUAGAUAUUGGGAGGAACACCGGUGGCGAAGGCGGCUACCUGGACAGUGACUGACGCUGAGACGCGAAAGCAUGGGUAGCAAACAGG